RNAcentral lists this ribosomal RNA (253 nucleotides) under uncultured bacterium. Its description in RNAcentral is "partial 16S ribosomal RNA". It matches the Rfam family "Bacterial small subunit ribosomal RNA", at positions 524 to 776 of the family's 1533-position model. The record is from RNAcentral.
UACGUAGGGGGCAAGCGUUGUCCGGAUUUACUGGGUGUAAAGGGCGUGUAGCCGGGCUGACAAGUCAGAUGUGAAAUUCCGGGGCUCAACCCCGGACCUGCAUUUGAAACUGUUGGUCUUGAGUAUCGGAGAGGCAGGCGGAAUUCCUAGUGUAGCGGUGAAAUGCGUAGAUAUUAGGAGGAACACCAGUGGCGAAGGCGGCCUGCUGGACGACAACUGACGGUGAGGCGCGAAAGCGUGGGGAGCAAACAGG